This 254-nucleotide ribosomal RNA is filed under the name uncultured bacterium. Its description in RNAcentral is "partial 16S ribosomal RNA". It matches the Rfam family "Bacterial small subunit ribosomal RNA", at positions 524 to 776 of the family's 1533-position model. The record is from RNAcentral.
CACGUAGGGGGCAAGCGUUGUCCGGAUUUAUUGGGCGUAAAGAGCUCGUAGGUGGUUCGGUAAGUCGGGUGUGAAACCUCCAGGCUCAACCUGGAGACGCCACCCGAUACUGCUGUGACUGGAGUCCGGUAGGGGAGCGUGGAAUUCCUGGUGUAGCGGUGAAAUGCGCAGAUAUCAGGAGGAACACCGAUGGCGAAGGCAGCCUUCUGGGCCAACACUGACGCUCAUGCACGAAAGCGUGGGGAGCAAACAGG